Molecule: long non-coding RNA, 1061 nt
Organism: Heterocephalus glaber (naked mole-rat)
Lineage: Eukaryota; Metazoa; Chordata; Mammalia; Rodentia; Bathyergidae
Source: Ensembl
AGGAAAUCUAAUAUUUCAAUUGAUAUUUAGUAUGCUGUAUCAAUAAUUCUCUCCAGCUCUUCUAUAGCUGAAUAGUGACUAUUGAAAAAAAUCUAACGUAGACAGCAACUAUAAACUCCUGACAAAAUAUAAAGGUUAACUUUCUGAAGGAAUUGGCUAAUAAUCCACAGCAGGCAUAUACUAGAGGAGAGUAACUUACUGAGAUGAAAGAAACAGGACUGGAUGAAUUUUUCAUUGUUAUAGCUUUUAAACUAAGGGCAGUCCCAAGUCUUACCAGACUGGGAGGCUUAAAAAUCCAGCAAAAAACUGAUAGCCUAACUGGCAGAAGAAUCAAGAGUUUAGGACAACUAUAGCCACUAGAAAUUGACGAAGAAAUCCUACAAAGGAGGGUUCUAAAACUGAGAACACAAAUCUAGCUAUAAGCUCUCCCCAGAUUUCCAGCUGACCCCUGAAUCAUACCUGCAUGGGGCAGGCUCCAGCAGGCCAACUAAAACUAAAAUAGUAGUACUGAAAUUUAAGUGUGUUGUCUGUUUUUUAAGAGAGAGUUUGCAAUUUGAGUCCAUUCAAAUUAAAUAUUAAAACAAAUUAGUCAGCACUUUUUAGAGACACCAUAGAAUCCAGAAUCUCUCCAAUACAUCAUUUACAUUGUCCAAAAUACAGUCCAUAGUAACUUGAUGAAAAAAUUGGGAAAAUAGGGCCAGGGAUUUAGCUCAGUGGUUUCGCCGCCUGCUAUGCAAGCGCAAAGACCCGAGUUCGAUUCCCGGUACCAAAAAAAAAAAGAAAUUGGGAAAAUGAACAAUUUUAAAAAGAGAAGAAAAUUGGUGUCAUGUGACCUUCAAAAAACUCUCAGAUGUAAAUAGCAGGAUUGAAACACAGGGCUUCAUGCAUGCUAAGAAUAUGCUCUACCACCGAGAUAUACUGUCAAGCCCUGGAUUGUUGUUUGACUACUUAGAAAAUCUUCAAGAUGGGUUGGCAACUGCAGGAGAAGAAUGAAGGAGAGCCAUCUUCUCAUCCUGAAUAUGCUGAGAUAAGGGACACAUAAGUGUUUACUGUAGACCAGA